This is an RNA transcript of Trematomus bernacchii (emerald rockcod), 4329 nucleotides long. It is a transcript of the gene named DGCR8 microprocessor complex subunit, with no coding region annotated. The record is from RefSeq and is a predicted model, not a curated record. Lineage: Eukaryota; Metazoa; Chordata; Actinopteri; Perciformes; Nototheniidae. The transcript has 15 exons.
UUCAAGAUGGCGAGGCUACAUCAGUUGAGGCAGUAUGGCGGCGCAUGUAGAAUACAAUAAUUUAGAAAGGUAGUCAGGUGCCCACAAAGAAGACAGCCGUCUCAUUUUAAUUGCUUCCAGAAGAUUCAAGUGGAGGAUGAUCAGUGCCUAGAUCCCAUAUUAAGCUGAAUGCAUUGUGAUUUCCAAUAAUUGAGACAGUGAUUCUGAAAGCUGUCUACAUUAAUGAAAAGAACAAUGUAGACAGCUUAGCAAUUUCACCUCUGGUACGUGGUCUAUACAGGGAUGUGCUUCUGCAUGCUGCAUUCUGGGUUCAGAUAGGAAGAAAGUGUCUUAAAACAGGUCAGAUUUUAGAAUAAAUUAUCAGUGCGUAUAAGCUGUAGUUCGUUAUUCAGUGGAAAUGGAGAUAGACGAUGUGCUACCCCCUCUCCCCUUGGAUCCACCUGGUUUUUUUGACCAAGAUGAGGGCAUAGCACCUCCACCACCUCCCCUGCAAACGUCCAGUGACGCAGAGGUAAUGGACGUUAGCUCUGGUGGUGAUGGACACACAGACACCCCAGGGGAAGGGGAAGCCAUGGCACAGCAACCCCUCGCUAAGGGCUCAAUCACUUUCUGUAGCCACCUCUCAGACGAGGCCAUUCCCAACCCUCAGUGCCCCAGAACAGCCCGCCACGCCCCCCCAGUCUCCGGGUUCCUACCAGACCUCAAGCUGCUCAGAGAUGUUAAGAUCCGUGUGAGCUUCACCGAAAGCAGCAGCAGCAGCAACAUCAACAGCAAAGACAGGAAGGUUUUGUACACAGGCGAAGGGCAGGAGGCAGGAAGUGAUGAUGGUUUAGACAGCAUGAAUGGUGAGAUGCAUGACUCCGGUGAGGGAAGCUCUGGAGCAGGAAACUUAGCAGGCAGGAGAUCAGACGAGUCCGAGGUAGACAUGGAAAACAAGGUAGAGUUUGCCGUCCUGGAUGAGCUCGACGACUACUACGAGAACUUCCUGGAUCAUGACGACACGGAGCACGGUGGCUUUAAGUCUGAGGGCAUAGCGCAGCAGGAUCAAGCGGAUGAGGAGACCGUGACUUUCGCCUAUGAGGAGGAGUUUGACAACGAUGUGGACGCCUUGCUGGAGGAGGGCAUGCCUGUCCCUAAAAAGAUGCGUCCGUCAGAGGACAAAUAUGGCGGGGAAAGUGAUCACCCGUCAGACGGAGAAGGAGGGGUUCAGCCCAUGAUGACCAAAAUUAAGACUGUCCUGAAGAGUCGUGGGCGCCCCCCCACUGAGCCUCUCCCAGACGGAUGGAUCAUGACAUUCCAUAACUCGGGCAUUCCCGUCUACCUGCACAGAGAAACCAGAGUGGUGACCUGGUCCAGACCCUACUUCCUUGGCACUGGCAGUAUUAGGAAACACGACCCUCCGACCAGCAGCAUCCCUUGCCUUCACUACAAGAAGAUCAAGGCUGUGGAGGAGAAGGAGCUGAAUGGGGAGGUGACCCAAAAUGUAGAGGUGACCCAAAAUGUAGAGGUGACCCAAAAUGUAGAGGUGACCCAAAAUGUAGACGUGACCCAAAAUGUAGACGGGACCCAAAAUGUAGACGUGACCCAAAAUGCAGAGGUGACCCAAAAUGCAGAGGAGACUCCUGUCAAACCAGUUGAUGAGACCAAUGGUGAAGAGAUGGCCGGUCCCUCUGAGGCUCCAGCUGAGGAGCAGUACGCUAUCCCUCCCUUCAUCGUGAUUGACGGGGUCCACGGGGGAGGAAGUACCCCCAAAAUAAGCCUGGCGUGUAAAAGGCCUCACGCAUUUGACACUGCACAGGGAGCAUUGGGACAAGUGAGAGCUAAAGUGGAGGUGUGCAAGGACGAGUCCAUAGACAUUGACGAGUUCCGGAUUUACCUGGAGAAAUGCUUUGACUUUGAACAAGUCACUGUGAAGAAGUUUCGCACGUGGGCCGAGCGACGGCAGUUCAACAGAGACUUGAAGAGGAAGCAGGCGGAGUGUGAGCGGCCCAUCCUGCCCGCCAACCAGAAGCUCAUCACUCUGUCGGUGCAGGACGCGCCCACUAAGAAAGAAUUCGUCAUCAACCCUAACGGGAAGUCUGAAGUUUGCAUCUUGCAUGAAUAUAUGCAACGUGUCCUAAAGGUUCGACCUGUUUACAACUUUUUUGAAUGUGAGAACCCAAGUGAACCCUUUGGAGCGUCGGUCAUUAUAGACGGAGUAACGUACGGCACAGGAACCGCAAGUAGUAAAAAACUUGCCAAAAAUAAAGCUGCUCGAGCCACACUGGAAAUCCUCAUCCCUGACUUUGUGAAGCAGACCUCGGAGGAGAAGCCCGUUGAGGGCGAUGAACUGGAGUAUUUUAAUCAUAUCAGUAUAGAAGACACAAGAGUGUACGAGCUGACCAACAAAGCAGGACUACUUUCGCCAUAUCAGAUUCUUCACGAGUGCCUUAAAAGAAACCAUGGGAUGGGAGACACCAGCAUUAAGUUUGAGGUGAUCCCCGGGAAAAACCAGAAGAGUGAAUAUGUGAUGACGUGCGGGAAGCACACCGUGCGUGGCUGGUGCAAGAACAAGAGGGUGGGCAAACAGCUGGCGUCUCAGAAGAUCUUACAGAUGCUUCAUCCCCACGUCAAGAACUGGGGCUCCCUGCUGCGCAUGUACGGCCGAGAGAGCAACAAGAUGGUGAAGAAGGAGAGCGCUGACAAGAGUGUGAUCGAGCUCCAGCAGUUUGCCAAAAAGAACAAGCCAAACCUCCAUAUCCUGAACAAGCUGCAAGAAGAGAUGAGGAAGCUAGCCACGCAGAGGGAGGAAACUAGGAAGAAGCCCAAGAUGACCAUAAAUGAGUCGGCCCAGCCGGGCAGCGAGCCCCUCUGCACUGUGGACGUUUGAAGUCCCUGCUGGAGCACUGAAACCCCGUCACUGUCAGACACUCCACCCCCCAUCACACACACACACACACACACCUGAUGGCAAUAUAGAUCCACAUUGACCAGGCCAGUAGAAACCCUUCCUCAGCUGGUAGAUGUGCACUAACAGUAGAGAAAUAUCACCUACCUCUCGAUGCAAACUAGCUAUACGGCACUUAAAAAACACUCCCCUAGCUGCAGACUUAGAAACAUAAACAGAUUCAAAUAAAAAUGCAUGUUUCUCUGACCGCAGUCAUCACCUUGGUUUUGUUUUGAAGUGUCGUUUUGAACACCUUGCAGCUAUUAGUUUUGUGCUUAACGUAUUUGAAAGGGACUACUAAUACGUGUAUCGUUUUAAUCGGGAAACAUACUAAUUUAUUUGGUAUUUUAAUGGUCGGUGUUAUGAAUAUUUUUUGGGGUGAAUACAUCAAAAGAAAUGCUGUUUUUGUUUAUCCUCAGAAUGGACACUUGCUGUCUUGGUUUGCACGAUUUUGAAAACAUGCGUUGUGAAGUGACGACUAUUCAGAACUCUUGUUAUGCACUUGUCACAUGUUUUUGACUGAUCAUGCUUAUGGUACAGGAGUAAUAGUGGAGAAACGUGUUGCCUUUCUUGACCCUUUGCUUUUGGAAGUACAAGAAUAAAACGUCCUAAUCUCUGAAGUAAAACACAAGCACAGAAAGAUAUGUAGAGCGCGAAGGAUCCUUUCUCUUAUGCUCUCAAGAGUACUAAUGCCACACACACACACCAAUAACCAUUUCAUUAGCUUGUUUGAGUUGCCUUAGUUUAUCAAUUUCAUGAAGGGCUCAGAGUAUAAUGGACCUAAAACACCCUUCAACAGGAAGUGGAAAGACCAAGCCCCCUGUACUCGAUAAAGCAUUUAGUAUUUGAGUGAAGACAGCCUGUGCAUAUUUUUUCUGAGAAUGGUCUUAAAGGAUUGUUUUGCUUUUCCAUUAUUAUAGUGAUUAUAUUUUCAAAACACAUGGUAGAAUACACUUUUCAAAAGGCAGCCUUGUACAUUUACGUUGGUACACUGACAGGAACAAACACAAGCUGGUGAGUGUGUAUACCAAAGCUAACAUACAGUCUUAUGCAUUUUAUAGAGUCCUUAUGUUACUAGAAACUGUACAGAAAAAACAACAGGAAAUACACAUUUCUUGCUGGAACAAACUACUGUGCAUUCAUUCUGUCAAGUAUUUGGCCUGUUUUUUUUUUUUUACAAAGUAAUCUUGAAUACAUCCCAGUUUAAAACAGGCUGUUGUGAUAUUGUAGGUUGAUUUUAAGAAUGUGCUUUCCGUUCUGUGCGUGUGUCAGUGUGAGAAGAAAUACAUACAGCUUUGUGUCGUUUGACAUGUUGCUGCCUAGAAAAUGAAGUAUGUAUUGCAACCUGAGCUCCAUGACUUCAGUGGUGUUUGUUAUGCAAAAUAAAAUGUCUUGACUAAUGA